UCUUGCCUUUAUACCCGCGCUUACUUGAAUUUCUUCACUUUGACAUUCAGAGCACUGGGCAGAAAUCACAUUGUGUCAACACCCGCUAGGGCCAUCACAAUGCUUUGUUUUAAUUAGACAGUCGGAUUCCCCAAGUCCGUGCCAGUUCUGAAUUGAUUGUUAAUUGAUAAUCGUUAUAAUUAAUAAGAACUAAUUGGUUUAACCCAAAUAGUAUUCUUAAAAAUUUUAGCAAGAAAGUUCCACAAUUGGCUACGUAACUAAACUAUCCGGGGAACAAGUAACUAACAUAAAUGCUAGAAACUCUAUUUACCCAGAACGAGCACAUAAACCAUGUUAUUGUUUCCCAAUCAAGCCCGACUAUCUCAAUCUUCAGAGCCAAUCCUUAUCCCGAAGUUACGGAUCUAAUUUGCCGACUUCCCUUACCUACAUUAUUCUAUCGACUAGAGACUCUUCACCUUGGAGACCAGCUGCGGAUAUUGGUACGGCCUGUUGAGAAGUUUGCGUGUCCCCACCAUAAAUUUUCAAGGUCCGAGGAGAAAAUAUCGACACAACAGUAUAUGUCAUGCUCUUCUAGCCCAUCUACCAUAUCUCUCUGCGAAAGACUUCCAUGGUAGUACGGCUAUAAAACAGAAAAGAAAACUCUUCCGAUAUCUCUCGACGGCUUCUUU
RNAcentral lists this ribosomal RNA (668 nucleotides) under Drosophila melanogaster (fruit fly). Lineage: Eukaryota; Metazoa; Arthropoda; Insecta; Diptera; Drosophilidae. The record is from RNAcentral.